Non-coding RNA from Trichonephila clavipes, 71 nucleotides. Lineage: Eukaryota; Metazoa; Arthropoda; Arachnida; Araneae; Nephilidae. The record is from the annotation of a GenBank genome assembly.
ACCUGUAGUGCAAUGAAUAGUACGUUGAACUAUUAAACCGAAGAUAGUGGGUUCGAACCCCACCAGAGGUG